This 225-nucleotide long non-coding RNA is filed under the name Parus major (Great Tit). Its description in RNAcentral is "lncRNA (ENSPMJG00000004930.1)". Lineage: Eukaryota; Metazoa; Chordata; Aves; Passeriformes; Paridae. The record is from RNAcentral.
CUACUGUGCCAUGUAGGGGGGCAGACAAUGGAAUUAUUAUGGAUGGAUGAUGGAUGGAUGGAUGGAUGGAUGGAUGGAUGGAUAGAUGGAUGGAUGAUGGAUGGAUGGAUGGAUGAUGGAUGGAUGGAUGAUGGAUGGAUGGAUGAUGGAUGGAUGGAUGGAUGAUGGAUGGAUGGAUGGAUGUCAAGUCUGAUGCUUUUCAACACUGUUGCUAAUCUUUAACUC